RNAcentral lists this ribosomal RNA (852 nucleotides) under uncultured bacterium. Its description in RNAcentral is "bacterial SSU rRNA". It matches the Rfam family "Bacterial small subunit ribosomal RNA", at positions 8 to 852 of the family's 1533-position model. The record is from RNAcentral.
AGAGUUUGAUCCUGGCUCAGGAUGAACGCUAGCGAUAGGCUUAACACAUGCAAGUCGAGGGGCAGCAUGGUCUUAGCUUGCUAAGACUGAUGGCGACCGGCGCACGGGUGCGUAACGCGUAUGCAACUUGCCUCACAGAGGGGGAUAACCCGUCGAAAGACGGACUAAUACCGCGUACACUCUAUGUUGGGCAUCCAAUGUAGAGGAAAAGAAAUUCGCUGUGAGAUAGGCAUGCGUCCCAUUAGCUAGUUGGUGAGGUAACGGCUCACCAAGGCGACGAUGGGUAGGGGAACUGAGAGGUUGAACCCCCACACUGGUACUGAGACACGGACCAGACUCCUACGGGAGGCAGCAGUGAGGAAUAUUGGUCAAUGGGCGAGAGCCUGAACCAGCCAAGUCGCGUGAAGGAUGACUGUCUUAUGGAUUGUAAACUUCUUUUAUACGGGAAUAACAAGAGUCACGUGUGGCUCCCUGCAUGUACCGUAUGAAUAAGCAUCGGCUAACUCCGUGCCAGUAGCCGCGGUAAUACGGAGGAUGCGAGCGUUAUCCGGAUUUAUUGGGUUUAAAGGGUGCGUAGGCGGCCUGUUAAGUCAGCGGUGAAAUCUAGGAGCUUAACUCCUAAAUUGCCAUUGAUACUGGCGGGCUUGAGUGUAGAUGAGGUAGGCGGAAUGCGUGGUGUAGCGGUGGAAUGCAUAGAUAUCACGCAGAACUCCGAUUGCGAAGGCAGCUUACUAAGGUACAACUGACGCUGAAGCACGAAAGCGUGGGUAUCAAACAGGAUUAGAUACCCUGGUAGUCCACGCAGUAAACGAUGAUAACUGGGCGUAUGCGAUAUACAGUAUGCUCCUAAGC